AUACUUGUUUUAGACUGCAGAGAAUAUUGACUGAAAGAAGAGAAGCAUUCUAUCUGUUACAAUAAAGUAGUAACUUCUAUGGUACAUCCAAGCUGAAAUGGAAAUUGGACGUCUUUGCAUACUGAUUUUUAAUUGGUUAUCAGGCAUCCAAAUGGAUUUAGCUCUCUGAGAUAACAAAGGAGUCUCAUUUGGCUUCCACUGAAGAUACUAGUGUGUCAGACAACGCAAGCAUGCCUGUGAGUGGUGAAGUCAUGAAAUUAUGAAGGUUAACUGAGAACAAGCUAAAGACAGAAUAGUCGUGGGAAAUCCCAACCUUAAAGAGGCAGCAUAUAAUUUCGAACAAACACUGAGACUACAGCUACUCUGGCCAAAUUGUCCUAAUUCUCUGUGCCUUCUAGAAGCCAAUGACAUCGAGGCAACUUCUUUGAGGAUAAGAACGUUGUGAAUUUAUUGUAGUUCAUGAGUGUAGUAACAUUUUCUCAAAUGUUAUGCUUAUAUUCUUCCAAAAUGAAGAAUUAGGUAAUUUGGGCUCUUUCCUACCAAAUUAAGUUAAACACUUUUUCUGUAUUUCACAGAGUUCAUUGAUUGUGCAUUUUAAAAAGGAUCCU
This 608-nucleotide long non-coding RNA is filed under the name Mus spicilegus (steppe mouse). RNAcentral's name for it is "lncRNA (ENSMSIG00000002317.1)". Lineage: Eukaryota; Metazoa; Chordata; Mammalia; Rodentia; Muridae. The record is from RNAcentral.